UACAGAGGGUGCGAGCGUUAAUCGGAAUUACUGGGCGUAAAUCGUGCGCAGGCGGUUCGUUAAGUCAGAUGUGAAAGCCCCGGGCUCAACCUGGGAACUGCAUUUGAAACUGGCGAGCUUGAGUAUGGCAGAGGGGGGUGGAAUUCCGCGUGUAGCAGUGAAAUGCGUAGAGAUCGGGAGGAACAUCCGUGGCGAAGGCGACUACCUGGACCAGCACUGACACUGAGGCACGAAAGCGUGGGGAGCAAACAGG
This 253-nucleotide ribosomal RNA is filed under the name uncultured bacterium. Its description in RNAcentral is "partial 16S ribosomal RNA". It matches the Rfam family "Bacterial small subunit ribosomal RNA", at positions 524 to 776 of the family's 1533-position model. The record is from RNAcentral.